Equus caballus (horse) is the source of this 336-nucleotide non-coding RNA. Lineage: Eukaryota; Metazoa; Chordata; Mammalia; Perissodactyla; Equidae. The record is from RefSeq and is a predicted model, not a curated record.
CUGUUUUCCUCACCUUCCUCACCAUCUAAACUAGAUCUUGUUAAAGGUGGCAAUGGAUCCAAGUGAAAAACUACAGAUAGAGGUGGCCACAUGCCCCAGGUAAGAACAUUCUACAAUCAAUGACUAAUUUGUAUUUCCUAAGAAAACCACAAGUCAUUCACCACAAUAUAUUUAGUAUGAAUUUCUGAAUGCCCUGGACAACUUGGGGGCCAUCUAUUAUAGAACCCUACAUCAUGUUUCAUGGUAUUUCUUUAUUCUCACCUCUGCGGACUGAUGAGUCUGAGAAUGGGCCGGCUGCAGCAUUGUUGUCAUCUUGGGUGGUCUCCUCUGAAAUUU